UACGGGGGGGGCAAGCGUUGUUCGGAAUUACUGGGCGUAAAGGGCUCGUAGGGGGCCAACUAAGUCAUACGUGAAAUCCCUCGGCUUAACCGGGGAACUGCGUCUGAUACUGGAUGGCUUGAGGUUGGGAGAGGGAUGCGGAAUUCCAGGUGUAGCGGUGAAAUGCGUAGAUAUCUGGAGGAACACCGGUGGCGAAGGCGGCAUCCUGGACCAAUUCUGACACUGAGGAGCGAAAGCCAGGGGAGCAAACGGG
This 253-nucleotide ribosomal RNA is filed under the name uncultured bacterium. RNAcentral's name for it is "partial 16S ribosomal RNA". It matches the Rfam family "Bacterial small subunit ribosomal RNA", at positions 524 to 776 of the family's 1533-position model. The record is from RNAcentral.